AGUUGCACCCACGGGAAGUGGGACUGAUGACCCUCCCCCCUGGACUUAGGACCUAGGCUGGGCUGGGCAUGUCCUUGUUGCUCAGUACAUGUUUGCUGAAUGGUGAAGGAAAACAUGUGUGGGAUGAAGAACUAACAUUGCACAGG
Perognathus longimembris pacificus (Pacific pocket mouse) is the source of this 146-nucleotide long non-coding RNA. RefSeq lists it as uncharacterized. The record is from RefSeq and is a predicted model, not a curated record. The transcript has 3 exons. NCBI's taxonomy places the organism in Eukaryota, Metazoa, Chordata, Mammalia, Rodentia, Heteromyidae.